CGAAAAACCGGCGUGUCAAAUGCCGGCAACGACAACCUACAGCCAUGAGUCGCCGGGCAGGAGCGGCGCAGGCGACGCAUGUGCGUUUGAAAGCACCUGAGGCAGAGGUAAAAAGUUUCAAAACCUGCAAUUAAUGCCAAUGGAUUCUAGCAGGGUUUAAUAAUCCGUCAAUGCUAUAGACUUUUUUCAAUUACUUACAGUUA
This is a small RNA of 203 nucleotides. It matches the Rfam family "Burkholderia sRNA Bp1_Cand738_SIPHT". The record is from Rfam.